RNAcentral lists this ribosomal RNA (253 nucleotides) under uncultured bacterium. RNAcentral's name for it is "partial 16S ribosomal RNA". It matches the Rfam family "Bacterial small subunit ribosomal RNA", at positions 524 to 776 of the family's 1533-position model. The record is from RNAcentral.
UACGAAGGGUGCAAACGUUGCUCGGAAUUAUUGGGCGUAAAGCGCACGUAGGCGGUAUUGCAAGUCGGAUGUGAAAUCCCUCGGCUUAACCAAGGAAGUGCAUCCGAAACUGCUGUACUUGAGUACGAAAGAGGAUCGCGGAAUUCCCGGUGUAGAGGUGAAAUUCGUAGAUAUCGGGAGGAACACCAGUGGCGAAGGCGGCGAUCUGGGUCGAUACUGACGCUGAGGUGCGAAAGCGUGGGGAGCGAACAGG